CUAUACAUGACUCUGCGCAUAUCAAUAAGCGGAGGAAAAGAAACUAACAAGGAUUCCCUUAGUAACGGCGAGUGAAGCGGGAAGAGCUCAAAUUUGAAAUCUUCAAGGUUCUACCUUGACGAAUUGUAGUUUAUAGAAGUGUUUUCUGUUAGUAGAGUGGCAAAAGUUCUUUGGAAUAGGACAUCAUAGAGGGUGAGAAUCCCGUAUUUGGUCAUUCUUUCUAGCUUUGUGAUACACUUUCAACGAGUCGGAUUGUUUGGGAAUGCAGUCCAAAAUGGGUGGUAAAUUUCAUCUAAAGCUAAAUAUUGGCGAGAGACCGAUAGCGAACAAGUACCGUGAGGGAAAGAUGAAAAGAACUUUGAAAAGAGAGUUAAACAGUACGUGAAAUUGUCAAAAGGGAAGCGUUUGACACCAGUGUUGUUUUUCCGAAAAUCAAUUACGAAUGUUUUGUUUUUAGAGAGUUAUGACUUCAUCGGCUUGCUUCCUUUCUUUACGAAACUUUCUUAAUGCACUUUUCGGUUAACAAGUCAACAUCAAUUUCUUUUGUUGUAAAAGGGUAUGAGGAAGGUGGCUUUCUUUUCGGAGAAAGUGUUUAUAGCCUUGUGCCUCUACAAUCGGAGAGAUUGAGGUCUGCAGCGUAGAUCCUUCGGGGUUAGAUACGUUUGUGCUAAGUUAUAGCUUUUCAUAGACAACUUGUUGACUAUGUUUAGUCUUGUAGCUUACUCGCUGACGCUAUUUUACCUACGCUUAGGAUGUUGAUAUGCAUGACUGAUAU
Molecule: ribosomal RNA, 775 nt
Filed under: uncultured Neocallimastigales
Lineage: Eukaryota; Fungi; Neocallimastigomycota; Neocallimastigomycetes; Neocallimastigales
Description: partial large subunit ribosomal RNA
Rfam family: Eukaryotic large subunit ribosomal RNA
Source: RNAcentral